UUCGCCUUACUAACUGGCGAGUGAAGCGGCAAAAGCUCAAAUUUGAAAUCUGGUACCUUCGGUGCCCGAGUUGUAAUUUGGAGAGGGCAACUUUGGGGCCGUUCCUUGUCUAUGUUCCUUGGAACAGGACGUCAUAGAGGGUGAGAAUCCCGUGUGGCGAGGAGUGCGGUUCUUUGUAAAGUGCCUUCGAAGAGUCGAGUUGUUUGGGAAUGCAGCUCUAAGUGGGUGGUAAAUUCCAUCUAAAGCUAAAUAUUGGCGAGAGACCGAUAGCGAACAAGUACAGUGAUGGAAAGAUGAAAAGAACUUUGAAAAGAGAGUGAAAAAGUACGUGAAAUUGUUGAAAGGGAAGGGCAUUUGAUCAGACAUGGUGUUUUGUGCCCUCUGCUCCUUGUGGGUAGGGGAAUCUCGCAUUUCACUGGGCCAGCAUCAGUUUUGGUGGCAGGAUAAAUCCAUAGGAAUGUAGCUUGCCUCGGUAAGUAUUAUAGCCUGUGGGAAUACUGCCAGCUGGGACUGAGGACUGCGACGUAAGUCAAGGAUGCUGGCAUAAUGGUUAUAUGCCGCCCGUCUUGAAACACGGACCUCCUGUGUGAGGGAUUCCCCUUAA
This 604-nucleotide ribosomal RNA is filed under the name Saccharomyces cerevisiae (brewer's yeast). RNAcentral describes it as "eukaryotic LSU rRNA". It matches the Rfam family "Eukaryotic large subunit ribosomal RNA", at positions 73 to 664 of the family's 3401-position model. The record is from RNAcentral. Lineage: Eukaryota; Fungi; Ascomycota; Saccharomycetes; Saccharomycetales; Saccharomycetaceae.